UAGGGAAUCUUCGGCAAUGGGGGCAACCCUGACCGAGCAACGCCGCGUGAGUGAAGAAGGUUUUCGGAUCGUAAAGCUCUGUUGUAAGAGAAGAACGUGUGUGAGAGUGGAAAGUUCACACAGUGACGGUAACUUACCAGAAAGGGACGGCUAACUACGUGCCAGCAGCCGCGGUAAUACGUAGGUCCCGAGCGUUGUCCGGAUUUAUUGGGCGUAAAGCGAGCGCAGGCGGUUUAAUAAGUCUGAAGUUAAAGUCAGUGGCUUAACCAUUGUUCGCUUUGGAAACUGUUAAACUGGAGUGCAGAAGGGGAGAGUGGAAUUCCAUGUGUAGCGGUGAAAUGCGUAGAUAUAUGGAGGAACACCGGUGGCGAAAGCGGCUCUCUGGUCUGUAACUGACGCUGAGGCUCGAAAGCGUGGGGAGCAAACAGG
RNAcentral lists this ribosomal RNA (429 nucleotides) under bacterium. RNAcentral's name for it is "partial 16S ribosomal RNA". It matches the Rfam family "Bacterial small subunit ribosomal RNA", at positions 355 to 776 of the family's 1533-position model. The record is from RNAcentral.